ACGGGAGGCAGCAGUGGGGAAUAUUGCACAAUGGGCGCAAGCCUGAUGCAGCGAUGCCGCGUGAGGGAAGAAGGUUUUCGGAUUGUAAACCUCUGUCAACAGGGACGAAAAUGACGGUACUUGACUAAGAAGCUCCGGCUAAAUACGUGCCAGCAGCCGCGGUAAUACGUAUGGAGCAAGCGUUAUCCGGAUUUACUGGGUGUAAAGGGAGCGUAGACGGCAAAGCAAGUCUGAAGUGAAAUGCCGGGGCUUAACCCCGGAACUGCUUUGGAAACUGUUUAGCUAGAGUGCAGGAGAGGUAAGCGGAAUUCCUAGUGUAGCGGUGAAAUGCGUAGAUAUUAGGAGGAACACCAGUGGCGAAGGCGGCUUACUGGACUGUAACUGACGUUGAGGCUCGAAAGCGUGGGGAGCAAACAGGAUUAGAUACCCUGGUA
RNAcentral lists this ribosomal RNA (434 nucleotides) under uncultured Lachnospiraceae bacterium. Its description in RNAcentral is "bacterial SSU rRNA". It matches the Rfam family "Bacterial small subunit ribosomal RNA", at positions 341 to 792 of the family's 1533-position model. The record is from RNAcentral. Lineage: Bacteria; Bacillati; Bacillota; Clostridia; Lachnospirales; Lachnospiraceae.